Molecule: ribosomal RNA, 112 nt
Filed under: Spirochaetaceae bacterium
Lineage: Bacteria; Pseudomonadati; Spirochaetota; Spirochaetia; Spirochaetales; Spirochaetaceae
Source: RNAcentral
GUGGCUAUAGUGGAGGUGUUACACCUGUUCCCAUUCCGAACACAGAAGUUAAGCCCUCUUACGCCGAUGAUACUGCCUCUGGAAGGGGUGGGAAAGUAGGUCGCCGCCAGGC